This 211-nucleotide ribosomal RNA is filed under the name Crematogaster brasiliensis. Its description in RNAcentral is "partial large subunit ribosomal RNA". The record is from RNAcentral. Lineage: Eukaryota; Metazoa; Arthropoda; Insecta; Hymenoptera; Formicidae.
GAAUUUUAUAUAAGUAGAUUAUUUAAUUAAGUUUUAUAAAUAGUUUAAAUUAUAUUUAAUUGGGAGGAUUGUUAAAUUAAAAGAACUUUAAUUAAGUUUUAAAAUAUUAAUUAAUAGAUUUUAGAAUGGUUACUAAAUUAAAUAAGAAUUAAUUACCUUAGGGAUAACAGCGUAAUAUUUUUAGAGAGUUCAUAUUAAUAAAAGUGUUUGC